UACAGAGGCCUCGAGCGUUAGGCGGAAUCACUGGGCUUAAAGCGUGUGUAGGUGGAUGCCUAAGUACCUUGUGAAAUCCCACAGCUUAACUGUGGAACUGCUUGGUAUACUGGGUGUCUUGAGCCACUCAGGGGCUACCGGAACAAACGGUGGAGCGGUGAAAUGCGUAGAUAUCGUUUGGAACGCCAAUGGUGAAAACAGGUAGCUGGGGGUGUGCUGACACUGAGACACGAAAGCCAGGGGAGCGAACGGG
This 253-nucleotide ribosomal RNA is filed under the name uncultured bacterium. RNAcentral's name for it is "partial 16S ribosomal RNA". It matches the Rfam family "Bacterial small subunit ribosomal RNA", at positions 524 to 776 of the family's 1533-position model. The record is from RNAcentral.